This 467-nucleotide ribosomal RNA is filed under the name uncultured bacterium. RNAcentral describes it as "partial 16S ribosomal RNA". It matches the Rfam family "Bacterial small subunit ribosomal RNA", at positions 28 to 507 of the family's 1533-position model. The record is from RNAcentral.
GACGAACGCUGGCGGCGUGCUUAACACAUGCAAGUCGAACGGAAAGGCCUCUUUCGGGGGGUACUCGAGUGGCGAACGGGUGAGUAACACGUGAGUAACCUGCCCUUGACUUUGGGAUAACUUCAGGAAACUGGGGCUAAUACCGGAUAGGAGCUCCUGCUGCAUGGUGGGGGUUGGAAAGUUUCGGCGGUUGGGGAUGGACUCGCGGCUUAUCAGCUUGUUGGUGGGGUAGUGGCUUACCAAGGCUUUGACGGGUAGCCGGCCUGAGAGGGUGACCGGCCACAGUGGGACUGAGAUACGGCCCAGACUCCUACGGGAGACAGCAGUGGGGAAUAUUGCACAAUGGGUGGAAGCCUGAUGCAGCAACGCCGUGUGCGGGAUGACGGCCUUCGGGUUGUAAACCGCUUUCGCUCAUGACGAAGCUUUGUGUGACGGUAGUGGGUAAAGAAGCACCGGCUAACUACGUG